GGAUUUCCUUGCCAAUAUGAAGAAUGCAUGGAGCUUCUCAAAAAUAUUUCUGCAUUCAAAGGUUAAAAUAAUUUUAUGCAAAUGUAAACUUCAUUGCUUGUGAUAUGCAAAGUAAAGUAGCUUAUAAUGCAGUAUAGUAGAAUUAGGGCCGCAAGAAACUCCAACAAUAAAGUAGUGAAAAUAACAAUAUUGGUAAGAUAGGAAUUUUGUGAAAUUACUUUUAUUUAAUAUUCUCCGCGCAUCGCACGGGUAAGUAUAUUACUUUUUCCUUAAAGAUUGUAGUAAGUUUCUUAUAUAUUAAGAAAAGUUUUUCUUCUUUGAGUACUCCCUCCGUUUCAAUUUAGACGAGGCAGUUUGACUCGCCACGGAGUUUAAGAAAAAAGAAGUUGACUUUUGAAACUUGUGGUCUUAAAAGUUUAAGGGGUAAAAGCUUUGUAGGGCCAUGACAUUUGUGUGGUUAUAAAAGCUUCUCAUUAAGGGUAAAAUGGGUAAAAUGAAGAAUUUAAAGUUGAGUUAUUUCCAAAUUUAGAAAUGUGUCAUUUAUUUUGGAACAGACUAAAAAAGAAAGUAUCUCAUCUAAUUUGAAACGAAUGGAGUAUAUGUUUACAAAUAUUAACUACUUAGCCAUGAAAACUAAAAAAUUUCAGGUGUUAAUUUUAGUAGGAAUAACUUAAAAAAUAAAAAUAAAAAAUCUUGUCAAUUGUAUUAAUUUUCUAUGCCUUUAACUUACGGUAAGUUAUAUUAGUAUUAUGAUUAACUAUCUUAAAUUAGUCUACGGAUAUAGACUUCUUCUUUGUUUCACUGAUGAAGAAUAAAUUGGAAUUUUCAUGAGUUUUAUCUUCAUUUUAUCAACUUCAUUUGAAUAAUUAUUUUUUGUUUUAUUAUCAUAAUUUUUCUUUGUAAAUUAACCAGAUGUUUCAUAUUAAACUGUGGAGUAUAUUUCUUUCACGUUCUCACCGAGAAUAGAUUCAAUGGAGAAUAUAUAUAUAUAUAUAUAACUAAUUGGCUCUAUACACAUUUAAAGGCCUAUUAAUAGAUAAAUGCGGGUUGCUAAUUAAUUCAAAGCUCGCUAUAAAAAAAAUUAUUAUUAGAAUAAAGGAAUAAUUGUGGGAGAGUGAGAUGAGUCACGAACUAAUUCAAGAAUCGUUGCAAUAAGAAAAAAGUAUUUAAAAAUAUACAAAUAUAUGCAUUGGAUAAGAAAGAGACUAAUAAAUGGAAUACUUUAAAUACGCUUAAAAGUUUUAGAUGUACUUUAAAUAUUAGCUCAUGUGUUAACAUUGGAUUGAUAUGCUUAAGUAAUAAAAGGAUCAUGUGCGCAUUCUCGCGUCUCGAUGCCUUUAAAUUUAAAAUAAUUAUGUUUUAACCAUGUGUACAUUCCGUACUUUGGUUUAACAUCUACCUUCAAAGGAAUGCCUUGUGUGUGUACCGCAUCUAGGUCAAAAUAAUUAAUAAAAUAUAAUAAAUUAAGUGGAGUGUUAAUAGACAAGCCAUAACCGAAAAAAUACAAGAAUGGCCAAGAAUUGAAUUAAGUCGGACAUGAGUCAAUGAAAGCGAUCGUGUUAGAACCACGGGACUCGAGGGGUGCCUUAUACCUUUCCAUCGGUCAACAGAAUUCCUUACUCAGUCUUCUGUUUUUGUAGACCAUAAAUAAAGAGCCAAACCUUCCGUUUGAUAAGGGAUUAAAAAAAAAAGGUGACUUGGAACACCAAAACUUAAUUCCAAGUGGCGACUCUAAAUAAUAAAUAAUCUCUUUUCAAAACGUCACUUUAAUUGAAAAAACUCUUCCAACUCAAAUUCGUAAUAGGGUUGCAUGGGAACAAAGAGGUGUGACAGCUGUGAAUAUAUGCAAGAAUGCGUUGAAUGAAUGAUCUUACAAAGAACGUCUCUCAACUAUUCUUCUAAAUUGGGUCAAUUGAUAAUUCUACAAGCUCUUUCGAUUACCUAUGAGAGUCGUGAAAUCAACCCAAAUAAGAUAACAUAAUGUGAAUUGCAGCAAUAAUUCUCUUUCGAUUAAAGUAAAACCAUAAUUAACCUUGCAAUUCAAUUAGAAACUCAUUCAAUGAAUUCAGGCAACUAACAGAAAGCAAACCCAAAACAAUAGUCAAAUCACAAUAUCCGUCAAUAACCAUAAGAAAGAUUAUUCCAUAGUAGAGAAGUUGUUCAUCACAAGAGUAUUAAGAGAACAAGAAAAUAUUAUAAUCCCCAAAAUCAAACAAACUUUCGUAUUGAAUGAUUCAGAUGAAGUAUUCAGAGUCUAUGUUGUUUCCUUGCCUACUUCUCUCCAAAAUUUGCUCCAAAAUCCCAAAUACCUAGUUUUUGGGACGAGCUAGGCUUCAUAUAGGUUAGGAGGAUGCCUCCAGAUUUAUAAAAAUAGGCCUGACUAGAAUUCCCGGAGACGGACGUGUGCGGCCGUGCACCUGGGAGUAUGAUCGCGCACCUCUGGCAGACUUUUGUGGCACUUGCACACUCAGGUGCGCAUUUGGGGUUGCUCAUGUGCGGCAAUGCAUGAGAAUUUUUUAUUGCUCAACUUGUUUUCCUCCCACUUGGUGCACUAUUCUUCCAUUGAUCUCCUCUGCACCACCUGCACUGAAAGGCAACAUAUUAUACCAAAUCUCUAUCGAAUCAACCAAAUCAAAGACAUAAAGCGGGCAUAAAUAUUGAGUAAUUUUAAGCUCAUCAAAUACCCACACACUUAGCUUUUGCUCGUCCCGAGCAAAUCUAAAACUAAAUUGCUCCUAACACUAUAACCACCUUAGAAAAGUGGUUGGUCAUAAUCAACUCCUAACGCCGUAUUCUGCGCAAUCAAAUGCGCGGUACACCCCUCCAGGUGCGCGGUCGCGCACCUAUACACGCACAAAUUACCUUUUAAAGCCUCAAUUCUUCCAUUCCACAAUAUAUACUUUCCUGCAACCACAAAAUCAUAAUAUACACUAAACUUUACCUAGUUUAAGCUAUAAUAAAUUAAAAAAAAUUAAAAAAAUCAAGCUAGUAGAAGAGUUAGAGGUAGUUCUGAGUUAUAGUCGUCAUCUUGACUCAACCGCGCAUCCUCAACUGAUUUUGAUGCUUAAGGAUUGCUGAAAAAAUUCUCUAGCAAGAUAUAGUUUUAACAUGUGCCCAUUUACCUUGAAACUCUCUGUUCCUUCCAUGUUAUGGACCUCAAUCGCUCCAUAUGGUGAUACAUGUUUCACCACAUAUGGUCCAGUCCAUCUAGACUUAAAUUUUUCGGAGAACAAUCUGAGUCUACUAUUGUAUAGCAAGACCUUUUCCCCUUUAUGAAAUUCUUUCGGUUUAAUCAGACGGUCAUGCCAUUUCUUCGUCUUUUCCUUGAAAAUUCGCGCAUUCUCAUAUGUGUCCAAUCUGAAUUCCUCCAAGUCAUUCAAUUGUGACAUUCUGUGCUCACCUGCAAGACUAAGAUCAAGAUUAAGCAAUUUAAUAGCCCAAUAAGCUUUAUGUUCUAUCUCCACUAGUAAGUGACAUGACUUUCCAUAUACCAACUUGAAGGGUGAAGUCCAUAUGGUUGUUUUGAACGCUGUUCUAUAUACCCAUAAGGCUUCAUCUAACUUUACUGACCAAUAUUUUUUGGAAUCACUAACCGUGUUUUCUAGAAUUCUUUUGAGUUCACGGUUAGUUAUUUCUACAUGCCCACUAGUUUGAGCAUGAUAUGGGGUUCCUAUUUUAUGAGUUACCCCAUAUUUAGAUAGCAGUGUGAGAAAUUGUUUAUUGACAAAAUGCAACCCAUUGUAACUGAUGAUGACUCCGAGAGUUCCAAAACUGGUAAAAAUAUUCUUCCAAAGAAAUUCACAUACUAACUGAGCAUUGUUUGUCCUAGCGGGGAUUGCCUCGACCCACUUGGAGAUAUAGUCAACGGCUACUAGGUACUCAUAGGAAUGGGACGAUGUGGAAGGGACCCAAGAAGUUGAUGCUCCAUACAUCAAAGACUUCACAUACCAAUAUGGAAUUCAACAACGUAGGAUCUUGCUUCCUUGUACAGGGACGGCCAGUAAAAAUCGGCUUCCAUGACCUUCACUGUCGUCUGAUUUCCUCCAUUGUGUCCUCCAGCUACUCCAUUAUGACAAUGGGACAAUAUACUUCACAUUUCCCCUUCUAGUAUGCAUCUCUGAAUAAUACCAUCUUCACACAAUUUAAAUAAAAAAGGGGUCAUUCCAGAAGUAGCUUUUUACCUCGCUUUGCAGCUUCCUCUUCUGGUCAGAGGUUAGGUCAUAUGGUAGCCAUCACUAGACAAAGAGUUGGCUAUGUCCGCAUACCAUGGAGGUCUAUCAGCGACCGCUGCAAUAGAAAAUAUUUGCUCAUCCGGGAACUCUUCCCUAAUGUCCACCGCUUCAACAUGUGGUUUCUCCAAUCGCGACAAGUGGUCAUCCACUUAGUUUUCUGUGCCCUUCCUGUCUUUGAUUUCAAGAUCAAACUCUUGCAGCAACAAUACCCACCACAUCAGAUGCGAUUUUGACUCUUUCUUGCUCAACAGAUAUUUCAGUGCUGAGUGAUCAGUAUGUACUAUCACCUUGCUUCCCACUAGAUAGGAUAUAAACUUGUCAAAAGCGAAGACCAAUGCAAAGAACUCCUUCUCUGUGGUAGUAGCAUAGUUCACCUGAGCAUCAUUCAAAGUCCGGCUUGCAUAGUAAAUGGGUCUGAAUAUUUUAUCUCUUCUCUAUCCCAACACUGCUCCCACUGCCACAUCACUGCAUCACACAUGAUCUCAAAAGCUUCGCUCCAGUCGGGAGUCACCAUUAUGGGGGCAGUCACUAGCUUUUUCUUGAUCAGCUCAAAUGCUCUAAGGCACUCUACAUCAAACACAAACGUCACAUCCUUGGCAAGUAAUGUUGUUAAGGGCUUGGUGAUGCUAGAGAAAUUCUUGAUGAACCUUCUAUAAAAUCAUGCAUGCCCUAGAAAGCUUAUGAUGCUCUUCACUAAAGUUGGUGGUGGGAACUUAGUAAUCACAUCUACCUUAGCUCUGUCGACCUCGAUACCUUCAGUUGUGACUUUGUGGCCCAAGACUAUCACAUCCUUAACCAUGAAGUGACACUUUUCUCAGUUGAGUACUAGGUGCGUGUCUUGACAUGUUUCAGUACAAGUUCUAGAUUCCUCAAAAAAUCCUGGAAGUCAUCCCCAAAGAGAGUAAAUCAUCCAUAAACACCUCUAGACACUUCCCAUUCAAAUUUGAAAAGAAUGACAUCAUGCACCUCCGAACAGUAGUUGGUGCAUUGCAAAGUACAAAAGGCAUUCUUCGAUAUGCAAAGAUUCCGAAAGGGCGGAUAAUGUGAUUUUCUCAACAUCUUCGGGAGCAAUGGGUAUUUGAUUGUACCUUGAAUAACCAUCUUAAAAGCAGUAACAUUUGCGCCCUGCCAGCUUCUCAAGUUUCAUUUUCUCAAAUUCUGAUCCGGAAAGCAAGCAACUGAGAUUGAGUCAUAAUCUUUUCUUCAAAGGGCGUCAAGAUUCAAUCUAUGGUCAACACAAGAGAGCAGGUUAAGAAUCAAGAUUUGACUCCUGAAGACACAUAGAUAGGAAUUUUGUAACUCUUAGGUUGCAAACAUAUGUAGUUAUCUUCUCUUUUUCUUUUGAUGUAAGCAGCAAGUGACAGUAACAGCAACAACAGCAGUAGCAGUCUUAACUCCAAUGUCUGGUAGUCCUAUCUACCAAAACAUUUUCAGAACUACACUGACCUGAUUCUUUUAUAGCCAAGGAUAUGUAGGCAACCUCGGAGGCAAGGUUCGGUCACCUUUUUCAAAAUGCUCUCAUUGGAGUCAUAGGCGAGCAAGAGUUAGUCAUGGCAUUCACUAUCUUUGCAUAGAAAUUUUUCAUGUUCUCGAGUAAAGAGGGGCAGCUGUGAAUACCUAAUUUUUGCACGAUUUUUCCAAAAAAAAAAAGAAUAACUUUUGGAUGAUUUUAGCUAUUUUAGUUUUUUUUCUUUGAACUUAUUUGCGCAUUUUUAUGUGAGUUUAAUUAAAAAGUACCAAAAUAUUUUUUACUUUUUAUUUGUAUAUUUUAGUUUGCAUCUUUAAAGAAUUUUCUUUUUACUUGUAUAUUUUCUUUAAGACUAAAUAAUAUUAUAGUAUAAUUAGGGAUUACGGGAUUGGGCUAGUGUAUUUUAAUUGAAAUUGAGCCAAAAUUGGCCCAAACUCAGAAGCCCAAAGAACCCACAAACCCAGUCCAAAUGGGGCUACCAGAGGAGGGUUCAAAUGACGUAGUUUCAUAAUAAAACUACGUCGUUGUAAUAAAUAAAGCAAGAUCAAAUCUUACCCAUCUAUUUCAUCUUGAUCCAAUAGCUCUCAUUCGCUCUCUGCCUAGGUAUUUAAAGCUUCAAAAAUCUGAAAAUUGCCCCCAUUUUUCACCCAUAAUUCUUUUCUCCUUCCUCUCUCUUCUCUCUCUCUUUCUUCACUCUCUCUUUCUCCCUAGCCGCCGCCCCUCUGCCGUCGCCAAAAAUCGCCCACCGGCUGCGGACCAUUUUCAAACACCCCCACAUUUACACUGUGUAAUCUUCACAACCUCCUCUUUCUAUAUCUCCAAACCAAAUCCUUGAAAACACCCUCAAAAUCUACGAAAUUUAGAUCUAGGAAAUACUAGCCAUCACUUUUUUGCCCAAAUAUUUGAAGCUCCGGCCACUACCACCUCGCAAUACCUACAUCAACGGAUAGAGAUCCUCAAGAUCUACCCAUUGAUGUCAAUUCCACCCCAAAACUCUGGCGAUAAAUUUCCCGGCCACCCCUUACUACCGCUGCGCCACCACUGCUUCUGUAUUCGAAGUUGGGUAAAAUCGAUUUCCUUUCUCCCCGUCCUUGUUUUUUUUUUUUUUGCGAUUGGUGAAGUAAGAAGCUGAUUGUAAUGUUGUAAUGGCCAAAAGGUCAAUUUCGAUAAGAGCCAGUGCUUCCUCUCGUACAGAGCUCCUCGCAGAAAUUCCAGAUCAUUGAAGAGGAAUAAAAAAAAUGGUAGUUUUCCUAUCAAGUACCUGGAUGUUUUCUUGUCCCUCAAAAGAAUAAAGAGAGAACCUUCCUCUACUGGAGAAAAUGAAAAAGAAAAUAUCAGAUUUAAUGUUUUUGUUUUAAUUAAAAUUUUGUUAGUGUUCAUUUUAGUUUAAUAUUCAAUCUAGUUUUUGAUUUUGUCGUCGUUUAACUUAAUCGACUUCGCUAGUUGUUUCAUUAUUAACAUGUGUUCUGCUUGCUUUGAUUUUAGUUGUUAAGUUCUAAUUUCUCUUGUUGAUUAAUAGUCCAAAUUGUUAAGUCUAGUUAGGUCAUAUUCUUAUUUUUUUAAUUAUUUUUUGAGCAAGUAGGUUGGUACUGAUUUAGUUAAAGCUGAAUACUUGAGUACAUGGUUGGUAUUUUUUUUAUUGUUCAAAGACUUUGGAGUACAAAACUCAAAAGUCAUUUGUUUGGUGAAAAAUACUACUUUAUGACAGCUUUUGAACCUAAGUCUAUCUUUUGAAUAGUAAGAGCAGACUUUGGUGAAAAUACUCUUUUUUUGGACAAAAUUGAACUAAAAAGUCUUGUAUUUUGAAUAUUUGGGGCAGAUUUUGUUGAAAAAUCUGUCAAAAGAGGGCAUAAAUCAGCAGCUAAAGCAUCCUUUAGUAAGCUAAAAUUGUGAGCUUUGUGAGUGUUUCUUAGAGUGCAAAACUUUCGAGAAAAAUAGAAAGACCCCUUAGGCAAUUUGUGAAGUUGUUUAGCUACUAGUUUCAAGCAUCCUUGUUGGUUUUCUGGGCUGUUUCUACUGUUAUUUCUGUUUAUUUCACUGCUGUAUUUUUUUUUAUAAUUCUGUGACCCAAGUAACUCUUUAACCAUGUAUUACAGAUUCUUUCACAUUAAUGAAGAUGUGAACUCAUUUUUGAAUUAUUGGAGCAUGACUACAUUUGAAAUUGCCUAAAAAUGAAUGUUGCAUUUGUUUAAGAAUGUAAAUAUGUUAAAGUUAUUUGUAACAUCAUGCUUUCCAUUACAUUUAUAGUUGAGGUUGUAUUCUAGUGUAUCUGGUUGAGGAUUUAAAGUUACAAAUAUUUCAUGUUUAGUCUGUUAAAGGUUGUUUAAUUAUUAAUAUGGUAUGGAUUCGAAACAUGCAAACUUAAGAAUUUUGCUUCUUGUAUGUGACGU
Molecule: long non-coding RNA, 8090 nt
Filed under: Nicotiana tabacum (common tobacco)
Lineage: Eukaryota; Viridiplantae; Streptophyta; Magnoliopsida; Solanales; Solanaceae
Description: long non-coding RNA (NTAB_LNC016715)
Source: RNAcentral